CUUAGCCCUAAACUUAGAUAUUUCCCACACAAAAAUAUCCGCCAGAGAACUACGAGCAAAACGCUUAAAACUCUAAAGACUUGGCGGUGCCUCAAACCCCCCUAGAGGAGCCUGUUCUAUAAUCGAUACUCCACGAUCUACCUCACCAUCUCUUGCCAAAUCCGCCUAUAUACCACCGUCACCAGCUUACCCCAUGAGGGACACAAAAGUAAGCAAAAUAACCUAAACAAUUAAUAAGUCAGGUCAAGGUGUAGCUAAUUGAGAUGGAAGAAAUGGGCUACAUUUUCUACUUUAGAAAUAACCACGGAAGAAUACCAUGAAAUAGGUUUCACAAGCAGGAUUUAGCAGUAAACUGGGAGCAUAGAGCCCAAUUUAAGCCGGUCCUGAGGUACGC
This 394-nucleotide ribosomal RNA is filed under the name Eretmochelys imbricata (hawksbill sea turtle). RNAcentral describes it as "partial 12S ribosomal RNA". It matches the Rfam family "Bacterial small subunit ribosomal RNA", at positions 795 to 1384 of the family's 1533-position model. The record is from RNAcentral. Lineage: Eukaryota; Metazoa; Chordata; Testudines; Cheloniidae.